CGUUAAACUCAAAUUUUGGUUUCCCCCUCCCUCUCUUUGUAUCUUUCUUCUUCUACAUCUCCGAUUAGUAUGUAGAAGGUGAACACAGUACACCAGAGAAGCUAUCGAAACAAGGGAAGCUUGCUCUUGCAUCAUAUUCCCUUACCGGCUUCCCCCUUAUGCUUCUCUCUUUCAGGGGUCUCUCUUCUCUUCUCUCUCUCACGGGUCUCUCUUUUCUUCUCUCUCUGGCCACUAGCUCUAUUCUCUUCUCUCUCUCUCUCUGUCUCUCUUCUCUGUCCGGCUCUUUCUUCUCUCUCGAUGUCUCUCUUCUCUUUAUCCUCUUUUUGUUUGUGAUUAGGAUUUGUUUUACAUACUAACCGUUCUUUUUGGCUUGCUUUGUAAGUGGAGUGUGUUGAUUCUCUGAAGCAGCUAAAGGAGAAUAAGAAUUUGAUUCGCAUCUUCAUUCUGCUUUUGCAGGAAUGAUAUUGAAGUAGAAGCACUAGUGAUGAAUUGAGAAGAAUACCAGCUAGCACUACCUUCCCUUCCCAAAUGGCCUGAAGGAUUGCUAAUAGCAUACAUGUGUAAGUGACACAAAUUGGGGGAGGAGCCCCUGCUGAAAUUUUACUCAGAACCAUUGAGUGUGUGACAUUUUAAUAUAUCAGUCCACACAGU
Long non-coding RNA from Daucus carota subsp. sativus, 651 nucleotides. RefSeq lists it as uncharacterized. The record is from RefSeq and is a predicted model, not a curated record. Lineage: Eukaryota; Viridiplantae; Streptophyta; Magnoliopsida; Apiales; Apiaceae. The transcript has 3 exons.